UGUGUAAUUUUUGCCUUAUCAGCCAACACUGAGGCAAAGAUGAAAGGCAAAAUAAAAAAUCUCCAACCAGUCCUACAUCAGGCCUGUAAGGUUGUAUGCGGGAAGCAACGGAGAAAUAAACGUCAAAGACCAAGUCUUUCACAGCCAGAGGAAGAAUGAGGGGCACAAAGUCUCAUUGGGUAUAAUAAAUGGGAGCAGGUCACACCCUAUUUAUCACCAGGACAUGUGGUAUUUCAGCAGAAACCUGCGGGCGAUCUAGGACUACAAAACGGGUAACCUUCCUCGGCAGCAGCAGGAGGUGCUGCCAGCUCUGUCUCACACAUGGAAUCAAAAAGUCACCGCAAAAGAAGAAUCAAAGUCUCAAGACACCAGAGAGGGUUUUUUCCUCACUCUAAGUUGGAAUUUAUGUUUUUUCAGCUACUUGCUAACAUCUUAUAUUUAGGUCAAGCAUUUGUUUGACAACGGUGGUUCCCAGUGAACUAAGUGAACGAAACUAGAUCACAUGGCAACAAGAGCAGCAUUUAACACUUAUAUAGUGUUUUUGUUUAUGUGUCAUGUGUAUUUUACAAAUAGA
Long non-coding RNA from Gambusia affinis (western mosquitofish), 574 nucleotides. RefSeq lists it as uncharacterized. The transcript has 3 exons. The record is from RefSeq and is a predicted model, not a curated record. NCBI's taxonomy places the organism in Eukaryota, Metazoa, Chordata, Actinopteri, Cyprinodontiformes, Poeciliidae.